CAAUAGCGUAUAUUUAAGUUGCUGCAGUUAAAAAGCUCGUAGUUGGAUCUCGGGUGGGAAUGGCCGGUCCGCCGUUUCGGUGUGCACUUGCUACGCCCACCUUACUGCCGGGGACGUGCUCUUGAGUUCACGCUCGGGACACGGAGUCGGCGAGGUUACUUUGAGUAAAUUAGAGUGUUCAAAGCAGGCCUACGCUCUGAAUACAUUAGCAUGGAAUAACACGAUAGGACUCUGGCCUAUCUUGUUGGUCUGUAGGACCGGAGUAAUGAUUAAGAGGGACAGUUGGGGGUAUUCGUAUUCCAUUGUCAGAGGUGAAAUUCUUGGAUUUCUGGAAGACGAACUACUGCGAAAGCAUUUACCAAGGAUGUUUUCAUUAA
This 377-nucleotide ribosomal RNA is filed under the name uncultured eukaryote. RNAcentral describes it as "partial 18S ribosomal RNA". It matches the Rfam family "Eukaryotic small subunit ribosomal RNA", at positions 592 to 976 of the family's 1831-position model. The record is from RNAcentral.